RNAcentral lists this ribosomal RNA (2440 nucleotides) under Salmonella enterica subsp. enterica serovar Agona str. 53.F.08. RNAcentral's name for it is "bacterial LSU rRNA". It matches the Rfam family "Bacterial large subunit ribosomal RNA". The record is from RNAcentral. Lineage: Bacteria; Pseudomonadati; Pseudomonadota; Gammaproteobacteria; Enterobacterales; Enterobacteriaceae.
CGUACAAGCAGUGGGAGCCCCACCACCAAAGCAUUCUCUGGUGUUGAAGGCCCUGCAAAGCAGCAUCGCGGUGGCGGAGCGUCGUUUGCGACGCCCAACACACAAAACAAGCGGUGAGUGCUUUGGGGUGGGUACCUUUUGUAUAAUGGGUCAGCGACUUAUAUUCUGUAGCAAGGUUAACCGUAUAGGGGAGCCGCAGGGAAACCGAGUCUUAACCGGGCGUUAAGUUGCAGGGUAUAGACCCGAAACCCGGUGAUCUAGCCAUGGGCAGGUUGAAGGUUGGGUAACACUAACUGGAGGACCGAACCGACUAAUGUUGAAAAAUUAGCGGAUGACCUGUGGCUGGGGGUGAAAGGCCAAUCAAACCGGGAGAUAGCUGGUUCUCCCCGAAAGCUAUUUAGGUAGCGCCUCGUGAAUUCAUCUCCGGGGGUAGAGCACUGUUUCGGCUAGGGGGCCAUCCCGGCUUACCAACCCGAUGCAAACUGCGAAUACCGGAGAAUGUUAUCACGGGAGACACACGGCGGGUGCUAACGUCCGUCGUGAAGAGGGAAACAACCCAGACCGCCAGCUAAGGUCCCAAAGUCAUGGUUAAGUGGGAAACGAUGUGGGAAGGCCCAGACAGCCAGGAUGUUGGCUUAGAAGCAGCCAUCAUUUAAAGAAAGCGUAAUAGCUCACUGGUCGAGUCGGCCUGCGCGGAAGAUGUAACGGGGCUAAACCAUGCACCGAAGCUGCGGCAGCGAACGUAUCACUUAAAGCGAUUCAGCGGGUUACGAUUGACGGAGCGAAGCGACGUCAAAGCGUAUACAAAGUCGAGUCGGUUUAAGGAUACGUUCGUUGGGUAGGGGAGCGUUCUGUAAGCCUGCGAAGGUGGCCUGUGAGGGUUGCUGGAGGUAUCAGAAGUGCGAAUGCUGACAUAAGUAACGAUAAAGCGGGUGAAAAGCCCGCUCGCCGGAAGACCAAGGGUUCCUGUCCAACGUUAAUCGGGGCAGGGUGAGUCGACCCCUAAGGCGAGGCCGAAAGGCGUAGUCGAUGGGAAACGGGUUAAUAUUCCCGUACUUGGUGUUACUGCGAAGGGGGGACGGAGAAGGCUAUGUUGGCCGGGCGACGGUUGUCCCGGUUUAAGCGUGUAGGUGUGUGUUCCAGGUAAAUCCGGUUCACUUUAACACUGAGGCGUGACGACGAGGCACUACGGUGCUGAAGCAACAAAUGCCCUGCUUCCAGGAAAAGCCUCUAAGCAUCAGGUAACAUCAAAUCGUACCCCAAACCGACACAGGUGGUCAGGUAGAGAAUACCAAGGCGCUUGAGAGAACUCGGGUGAAGGAACUAGGCAAAAUGGUGCCGUAACUUCGGGAGAAGGCACGCUGACACGUAGGUGAAGUGAUUUACUCAUGGAGCUGAAGUCAGUCGAAGAUACCAGCUGGCUGCAACUGUUUAUUAAAAACACAGCACUGUGCAAACACGAAAGUGGACGUAUACGGUGUGACGCCUGCCCGGUGCCGGAAGGUUAAUUGAUGGGGUCAGCGCAAGCGAAGCUCCUGAUCGAAGCCCCGGUAAACGGCGGCCGUAACUAUAACGGUCCUAAGGUAGCGAAAUUCCUUGUCGGGUAAGUUCCGACCUGCACGAAUGGCGUAAUGAUGGCCAGGCUGUCUCCACCCGAGACUCAGUGAAAUUGAACUCGCUGUGAAGAUGCAGUGUACCCGCGGCAAGACGGAAAGACCCCGUGAACCUUUACUAUAGCUUGACACUGAACAUUGAGCCUUGAUGUGUAGGAUAGGUGGGAGGCUUUGAAGUGUGGACGCCAGUCUGCAUGGAGCCGACCUUGAAAUACCACCCUUUAAUGUUUGAUGUUCUAACGUGGACCCGUAAUCCGGGUUGCGGACAGUGUCUGGUGGGUAGUUUGACUGGGGCGGUCUCCUCCUAAAGAGUAACGGAGGAGCACGAAGGUUGGCUAAUCCUGGUCGGACAUCAGGAGGUUAGUGCAAUGGCAUAAGCCAGCUUGACUGCGAGCGUGACGGCGCGAGCAGGUGCGAAAGCAGGUCAUAGUGAUCCGGUGGUUCUGAAUGGAAGGGCCAUCGCUCAACGGAUAAAAGGUACUCCGGGGAUAACAGGCUGAUACCGCCCAAGAGUUCAUAUCGACGGCGGUGUUUGGCACCUCGAUGUCGGCUCAUCACAUCCUGGGGCUGAAGUAGGUCCCAAGGGUAUGGCUGUUCGCCAUUUAAAGUGGUACGCGAGCUGGGUUUAGAACGUCGUGAGACAGUUCGGUCCCUAUCUGCCGUGGGCGCUGGAGAACUGAGGGGGGCUGCUCCUAGUACGAGAGGACCGGAGUGGACGCAUCACUGGUGUUCGGGUUGUCAUGCCAAUGGCACUGCCCGGUAGCUAAAUGCGGAAGAGAUAAGUGCUGAAAGCAUCUAAGCACGAAACUUGCCCCGAGAUGAGUUCU